This 482-nucleotide ribosomal RNA is filed under the name uncultured bacterium. Its description in RNAcentral is "bacterial SSU rRNA". It matches the Rfam family "Bacterial small subunit ribosomal RNA", at positions 58 to 521 of the family's 1533-position model. The record is from RNAcentral.
CAAGUCGAACGUGAUCGUAGCAAUACGGUGAAAGUGGCGGAAGGGUGAGUAAUGCGUAGAUAACCUACCCCCGAAUCUGGGAUAACUCCGGGAAACUGGAGCUAAUACCGGAUGGGGUCGCUGGGUCGCAUGGUUCGGCGACUAAAGGAACCCCCUGAAUAUGGUUCCGUUCGGGGAGGGGUCUAUGUCCUAUCAGCUAGUUGGUGAGGGUAAAAGCCCACCAAGGCUGUGACGGGUAGCCGGCCUUAGCGGGUGUCCGGCCACAUUGGGACUGAGACACUGCCCAAACUCCUACGGGAGGCUGCAGUCGAGGAUCUUCCGCAAUGGGCGCAAGCCUGACGGAGCGACGCCGCGUGUGGGAUGAAGGCCUUCGGGUUGUAAACCACUGUCACUCGUUAAGAAAGGAACUGGUGUUAACAGCGCCAGGGACUGACAAAGGCGAGAGAGGAAGCCACGGCUAACUUCGUGCCAGCAGCCGCGGU